CUCUCUCUCUCUCUCUGUGUGUGUGGGCUGAACAUUUCAAGCAUGAAUCACCCCUGACCACACCCCAGCUGGUGAUGACACAGAAAGUGUUUGCGUUUGACAGCAGCUGAUGAAAAAACACCUGUGACAUCACUGAACGGGGCGUGCUCAGAGGCACGAAGCUCUCCUCCAGGACCCAUCAUUUGUAAGGAAACAUCUAUUUUUAUCCUUAUCUGAUGCAAUAAGGCAGUUGUUCUGUUAUUUUUUUCCCAUCUUGCUAUUGUCUAUAAGUUUCUGCCAAAGCUCUGGGCCAAAGUAGUAAUACAUUGUACUGUAAUGUAUUCACAUGCAUGAUUUAUGAUCUAAAGAGACAUGAUGGACUUCACCCUGGCUUGAAGACAACUGAUUAUUUCAGAAUAACUUUGUUCAUUACUCUAAUGGCUGCAUUUAGUGGAUGGUAGUUAUGUAUUACUUAAGUAUUGUUGAACAAAAAUAGCUUGAGGCUCCUACUCAUGAUGAAUGGAGCAGCUCAAAAUACCCUGCCCAGGAUACACUGCAGAGGGUAUGAUUCAUUGUUGCUCUGACAAAUAAAUCCAGUUUUACCAAGUCAGUUCAAUUCUGUCUGGAAGGGAGUUGAUGUUAAUUCUUUCUUAGAUUGUAAGGAACUGACAGGAAAUCUUUUAUUGCUGAUGCAUGACGAUGAAUUAUGUGAGAGAGACAACUGCUUGCUUGCUUGCUUGCUUCUCUUCUUAUUCAAAGGUGGCGUAGACUCUUUGUUCUCAGCUCCUGUGUGACACAUGACUUACAGCAUCUUCAUGAGAUGAUCCAAGAGAAAGAGAGGAAAGUGGAGCACCUUCAAGCUGCUCAUGAGAAAACCUUUUUCCAUGUCUUACAUUUGUUUUCCAAGUUUGAAAAUACUGCACCAGGUUUUCCUCUGAGGUGGCACUUACCUUUAGGAGGAUGAAGAAGCCAAAGGUGGUGAUUGGGGUUGUUUGAAACACAAACAUAUGAUUUAUUUGAAGAUAAUGAUGAUUAUUAUUAUUAGUUAUUUUAUAUGCAAGAGUCUCCCUUCAUGUUUUCUUUUUUGUUACGAUAAGUUCUAUUUUUAGGGUGAUAUUGUGCUUUGAAAAAUAAUGCCAUUGCCAAGCUAUGACAUUGUAGACAUGUUUGGCAUGGGGAGAGAUGACAACUGCUGUACUGUAAUGAUUAUUCCUCUUUUGGAGAUUUUCCACAUCAACACAAUAAGGUGUUCUGUGUAUUUUUUUAAACAUUCACGCUUAAGUAAAAGGGUGAAUCAAUCACGAGAAGACUCAGGCAUGCUUCAUGUGCAGCCAUAGCCUAUCUGUGCUAGUCUACACUUGUGUGAGUGUCUCGGUGCUACCU
Molecule: non-coding RNA, 1362 nt
Organism: Xyrichtys novacula (pearly razorfish)
Lineage: Eukaryota; Metazoa; Chordata; Actinopteri; Labriformes; Labridae
Source: the annotation of a GenBank genome assembly